Thamnophis elegans (Western terrestrial garter snake) is the source of this 670-nucleotide long non-coding RNA. RefSeq lists it as uncharacterized. The transcript is spliced from 3 exons. The record is from RefSeq and is a predicted model, not a curated record. NCBI's taxonomy places the organism in Eukaryota, Metazoa, Chordata, Lepidosauria, Squamata, Natricidae.
UCUGCCUUAAGGGCAGGCAUUUGCGCGGGCUGUCGUGCAAAAUGUUCCGUAAACCCCUUUCUGCCUGUCUCGGCACUCGGAUAGGAAUCGACCUGCAAAGGUCCUGAAUGUGAGGAUUGAUCAUGGAGUUACUUUUUCAUCACUAUCGUAACUGUAAACAGUCCCUGUAUGAGGCAAUUGGACUGGAAGGUGCUUCUGAGAUGGCUGUUUGGUUUAUUUUCUGGAAAGAAAGGAAGUCUGGAAUUGGUCAUUGAACACAACUCGCCACUUACAACAGCUUACAAAGUGGGACAGGGUAGAAUAUGCUCAGCAACACAUUUUCAGCCAGUGACAAAUGUGCAAGUUCAAAAUGUUCUUGCAGAAAGAAGCAAUGUUAGGUGUUUACUAAUUUAAGAUUUUGUGACAAAGGGUGAUAAUAAUACACUGAAAAGUUUUCAGAUCUGACUGAGUGCAGGCAGGAUUUUGUUUUACUUCAAGAUAGUUUUGAGCAAAGCUUGUUAAGACCAGGAAUUAACUGACCAAUGUGAUUCAGAGGGAUAUGCUAAAAGUUCUAAGGACUAAUUUUGAAGAUUUUCUAUCACAGGAACAGGAAGAUUUGAAUGCUCUUGAAAUCUAUUUUGGUCAUCAUCUAGCACAGAUACAUGAGAUUGUUUCUUGGCACUCUUUCUUA